AUUGAACGCUGGCGGCAUACUUAACACAUGCAAGUCGAACGGUAACAGGCCCUUCGGGUGCUGACGAGUGGCGGACGGGUGAGUAACACGUGGGUGACCUGCCCUCAGCUCUGGGAUAAGCCUGGGAAACCGGGUCUAAUACUGGAUAUGACUCCAUGACGCAUGUUGUGGGGUGGAAAGCCUUGUGCGGCUGAGGAUGGGCCCGCGGCCUAUCAGCUUGUUGGG
RNAcentral lists this ribosomal RNA (225 nucleotides) under uncultured bacterium. RNAcentral describes it as "partial 16S ribosomal RNA". It matches the Rfam family "Bacterial small subunit ribosomal RNA", at positions 30 to 253 of the family's 1533-position model. The record is from RNAcentral.